GAUACUAGGUGUAGGAGGUAUCGACCCCUCCUGUGCCGGAGUUAACGCAAUAAGUAUCCCGCCUGGGAAGUACGAUCGCAAGAUUAAAACUCAAAGGAAUUGACGGGGGCCCGCACAAGCGGUGGAGUAUGUGGUUUAAUUCGACGCAACGCGAAGAACCUUACCAAGCCUUGACAUUGAUCGCAAUCCAUAGAAAUAUGGAGUUCUUCUUCGGAAGACGAGAAAACAGGUGGUGCAUGGCUGUCGUCAG
Molecule: ribosomal RNA, 250 nt
Filed under: uncultured bacterium
Lineage: Bacteria
Description: partial 16S ribosomal RNA
Rfam family: Bacterial small subunit ribosomal RNA
Source: RNAcentral